GACGAACGCUGGCGGCGUGCUUAACACAUGCAAGUCGAACGGAAAGGCCCUGCUUUUGUGGGGUGCUCGAGUGGCGAACGGGUGAGUAACACGUGAGUAACCUGCCCUUGACUUUGGGAUAACUUCAGGAAACUGGGGCUAAUACCGGAUAGGAGCUCCUGCUGCAUGGUGGGGGUUGGAAAGUUUCGGCGGUUGGGGAUGGACUCGCGGCUUAUCAGCUUGUUGGUGGGGUAGUGGCUUACCAAGGCUUUGACGGGUAGCCGGCCUGAGAGGGUGACCGGCAACAUUGGGACUGAGAUACGGCCCAGACUCCUACGGGAGGCAGCAGUGGGGAAUAUUGCACAAUGGGCGGAAGCCUGAUGCAGCAACGCCGCGUGCGGGAUGACGGCCUUCGGGUUGUAAACCGCUUUCGCCUGUGACGAAGCGUGAGAGACGGUAAUGGGUAAAGAAGCACCGGCUAACUACGUG
This 468-nucleotide ribosomal RNA is filed under the name uncultured bacterium. Its description in RNAcentral is "partial 16S ribosomal RNA". It matches the Rfam family "Bacterial small subunit ribosomal RNA", at positions 28 to 507 of the family's 1533-position model. The record is from RNAcentral.